RNAcentral lists this unclassified non-coding RNA (329 nucleotides) under soil metagenome. RNAcentral describes it as "partial contains 5.8S ribosomal RNA, internal transcribed spacer 2, and large subunit ribosomal RNA". The stretch from base 1 to 120 matches the Rfam family "5.8S ribosomal RNA", at positions 35 to 154 of the family's 154-position model. The record is from RNAcentral.
GAUGAAGAACGUAGCGAAAUGCGAUAAGUAAUGUGAAUUGCAGAAUUCAGUGAAUCAUCGAAUCUUUGAAUGCACAUUGCGCCCCUUGGUAUUCCGAGGGGCAUGCCUGUUCGAGCGUCAUUAUAACCCCUCAAGCUCAGCUUGGUGUUGGGGCCUGCUGCACUGGCAGCCCUUAAAAUCAGUGGCGGCGCCGUCUGGCUCUAAGCGUAGUAAUUCUUCUCGCUAUGGAGUCCUGGUGGAUGCUUGCCAUCAACCCCCAAUUUUUCUAUGGUUGACCUCGGAUCAGGUAGGGAUACCCGCUGAACUUAAGCAUAUCAAUAAGCGGAGGA